This 664-nucleotide ribosomal RNA is filed under the name Escherichia coli. RNAcentral describes it as "partial 23S ribosomal RNA". It matches the Rfam family "Bacterial large subunit ribosomal RNA", at positions 604 to 1268 of the family's 2925-position model. The record is from RNAcentral. Lineage: Bacteria; Pseudomonadati; Pseudomonadota; Gammaproteobacteria; Enterobacterales; Enterobacteriaceae.
CCUUUUGUAUAAUGGGUCAGCGACUUAUAUUCUGUAGCAAGGUUAACCGAAUAGGGGAGCCGAAGGGAAACCGAGUCUUAACUGGGCGUUAAGUUGCAGGGUAUAGACCCGAAACCCGGUGAUCUAGCCAUGGGCAGGUUGAAGGUUGGGUAACACUAACUGGAGGACCGAACCGACUAAUGUUGAAAAAUUAGCGGAUGACUUGUGGCUGGGGGUGAAAGGCCAAUCAAACCGGGAGAUAGCUGGUUCUCCCCGAAAGCUAUUUAGGUAGCGCCUCGUGAAUUCAUCUCCGGGGGUAGAGCACUGUUUCGGCAAGGGGGUCAUCCCGACUUACCAACCCGAUGCAAACUGCGAAUACCGGAGAAUGUUAUCACGGGAGACACACGGCGGGUGCUAACGUCCGUCGUGAAGAGGGAAACAACCCAGACCGCCAGCUAAGGUCCCAAAGUCAUGGUUAAGUGGGAAACGAUGUGGGAAGGCCCAGACAGCCAGGAUGUUGGCUUAGAAGCAGCCAUCAUUUAAAGAAAGCGUAAUAGCUCACUGGUCGAGUCGGCCUGCGCGGAAGAUGUAACGGGGCUAAACCAUGCACCGAAGCUGCGGCAGCGACACUAUGUGUUGUUGGGUAGGGGAGCGUUCUGUAAGCCUGUGAAGGUGUACUGUGAGG